Non-coding RNA from Pseudonaja textilis, 157 nucleotides. NCBI's taxonomy places the organism in Eukaryota, Metazoa, Chordata, Lepidosauria, Squamata, Elapidae. The record is from RefSeq and is a predicted model, not a curated record.
GCCCAGUUCCCUUCUGAAAAAAGCACCUUUGGGACAACCAUGAGCUGGAUGACUGAGAAUCUCUACAAACUUUUAGCUAUACAAUUUGGGAUGAACACCCUUGGGAUGGCGUGGGAGUAGGAAGGGAUUUCCGGAGGAAAAAAAUUGCAACCUAUGA